Molecule: long non-coding RNA, 2485 nt
Filed under: Salvia miltiorrhiza (redroot sage)
Lineage: Eukaryota; Viridiplantae; Streptophyta; Magnoliopsida; Lamiales; Lamiaceae
Description: long non-coding RNA (SMIL_LNC007380)
Source: RNAcentral
CAAUUUUGAGUACAAAAGAAAGUAAAAUUCUGAAUCAAGAUGAAUACAAUUGAUUUCAAAUCCAUCAUAAAACAAACUUGAUAAUCCAAUUUUUUUUGUUAGAAUUUGUUACCGGCAAUUUUGGGCAGCAAUCGCUACUCCCAAUUACAGUAUCUCACAAAUCACAAUCAUCGCCUCUCUCUCGUCCCAACCUGCCGUUCCCUAGAUCUCUCUAGCUAUCUCAUCUCCUUGUCGUAGUUGCCACACCAUCGCCGGCGUCGCGCCAUCGCCACCGCCAUUGCCGCUGCGUCUCUGCCGUCCUAUUUUUCCCCUCUCUCGGUUUCUCUCGUUCAUCAGCUGUAGCGCUUUCGAUUGCACUUCGUUCUGCCGCCUAUAGCAGCGCCGUUCGUCACAACAUCGCCGUCGAGACUCGAGCCACCGCCUGACGAAAUCUGCUUCAACGUGCCUUAAUUUCUUCCUUGGAUUCGAUUUCGAGGAGAUCUGCUUGCGGCUGGAGGCGGACAAGAGAUCUACCUGAAUCUGGAUGGCCGACAGAUCUAGCUUCUCUUCGUCGGACAUAACUCAGUUGAAACAUGAGGAGAUCGACUUCGCUGUGCGUCGCGAUGGCGGUGGAGAAGAAGAAGCCGAAGGAGGACCGCCCCUACCUGGAGUCGGAGUGCCGCGACCUAGCGGAGGCCAACAAGUGGCGCCAACAAAUCAUGCGCGAGAUCGGCCGAAAAAUCGCUGAGAUCUAGAACGAAGGCGAGACAAAGCGAGAGCGGUGGUGAUUGAAGCGGCGGAGUAUUUGAGACGAAGCGCUUCGUGGCGAGGGGUGAAGCAGAAGAUGGCAGAGGCGACGAGGCCGGGGCAGAGACGACGAGGCCAGGGGCGGCGGCGCUUCGCGGCGGGGGGCGAACCAGGAGAUGGCGGAGGCGACGAGGCCGAGGCGGCGAUCUGAGAUCGAAAAGAAAGGGAGGGAGGGAGAGAGAGAGAGAAGGGGGAAGGGCCGUGAGGGAGAAGAGAGAGAAAGAGAGUGGAGAGAGAGAGUACAUAUAUUUAAAGGAGGGUUAUUUUGUCUUUCAAUCAAAAAGUGGACUAAUUUUUAUUAUUUUAUCUUAGUGGACUAAUUUUUAUCUUUACAAUAUGAAAGUGGAUAGUUUUAUAUAUUAACUCAAUUAUAAAUAUUAUUAUUAUUAUUUUACAUUAAGAGGAUUAUUAUUAUUAUUAUUAUUAUUAUUNAGAACAUUAAAUUGUGAAUUCAUAAAUUUGAUUGUGAAUUUAAGAACAUUAAAAAAAUAAUUAUACAGCUCAAUCAAAUUGGUGUACAACACCAAAAUACAACAACUCAAUCUACCAUCAAUUGACUAUACAUCAGCUGUUUUUUCACAUCUAUUUCUCAUUCAUCAAGCUAAACUAAUUCACACAUCAUCUUCUUCCACAAAUUCCCAAAUUUCCUGCUCUUUUCCCCAAUUUCCAGUCCUUGCAAUUAAACUAACUUGAAGAAAGUAAAAUUGAAUUGAGGUUUAGAUAAACAAACCAUCCCAAUUUUGAGUACAAAAGAAAGUAAAAUUCUGAAUCAAGAUGAAUACAAUUGAUUUCAAAUCCAUCAUAAAACAAACUUGAUAAUCCAAUUUUUUUUUGUAGAAUUUGUUACCGGCAAUUUUGGGCAGCAAUCGCUACUCCCAAUUACAGUAUCUCACAAAUCACAAUCAUCGCCUCUCUCUCGUCCCAACCUGCCGUUCCCUAGAUCUCUCUAGCUAUCUCAUCUCCUUGUCGUAGUUGCCACACCAUCGCCGGCGUCGCGCCAUCGCCACCGCCAUUGCCGCUGCGUCUCUGCCGUCCUAUUUUUCCCCUCUCUCGGUUUCUCUCGUUCAUCAGCUAUAGCGCUUUCGAUUGCACUUCGUUCUGCCGCCUAUAGCAGCGUCGUUCGUCACAACAUCGCCGUCGAGACUCGAGCCACCGCCUGACGAAAUCUGCUUCAACGUGCCUUAAUUUCUUCCUUGGAUUCGAUUUCGAGGAGAUCUGCUUGCGGCUGGAGGCGGACAAGAGAUCUACCUGAAUCUGGAUGGCCGGCGGAUCUGACUUCUCUUCGUCGGACAUAACUUAGUUGAAACUUGAGGAGAUCGACUUCGCUGUGCAUCGCGAUGGUGGUGGAGAAGAAGAAGCCGAAGGAGGACCGCCCCUACCUGGAGUCGGAGUGCCGCGACCUAGCGGAGGCCAACAAGUGGCGCCAGCAAAUCAUGCGCGAGAUCGGCCGGAAAAUCGCUGAGAUCUAGAACGAAGGCGAGACGAAGCGAGAGCGGCGGUGAUUGAAGCGGCGGAGUAUUUGAGACGAAGCGCUUCGUGGCGGGGGGACGAGGCCGGGGCAGAGACGACGAGGCCGGGGGAGGCGGCGCUUCGCGGCGGGGGGCGAACCAGGAGAUGGCGGAGGCGAUGACGAGGCCGAGGCGGCGAUCUGAGCCGGAAGGGAGGGAGGGAGAGAGAGAGAGAAGGGGGAAGGGCCGUG